RNAcentral lists this ribosomal RNA (263 nucleotides) under uncultured bacterium. Its description in RNAcentral is "partial 16S ribosomal RNA". It matches the Rfam family "Bacterial small subunit ribosomal RNA", at positions 524 to 786 of the family's 1533-position model. The record is from RNAcentral.
UACGUAGGUGGCAAGCGUUAUCCGGAUUUACUGGGUGUAAAGGGCGUGUAGGCGGGACAGCAAGUCAGGCGUGAAAAUUAUGGGCUCAACCCAUAACCUGCGUUUGAAACUGUUGUUCUUGAGUGAUGGAGAGGCAGGCGGAAUUCCGUGUGUAGCGGUGAAAUGCGUAGAUAUACGGAGGAACACCAGUGGCGAAGGCGGCCUGCUGGACAUUAACUGACGCUGAGGCGCGAAAGCGUGGGGAGCAAACAGGAUUAGAUACC